This 506-nucleotide ribosomal RNA is filed under the name uncultured bacterium. Its description in RNAcentral is "partial 16S ribosomal RNA". It matches the Rfam family "Bacterial small subunit ribosomal RNA", at positions 30 to 523 of the family's 1533-position model. The record is from RNAcentral.
AUUGAACGCUGGCGGCAGGCCUAACACAUGCAAGUCGAACGGUAGCACAGAGGAGCUUGCUCCUUGGGUGACGAGUGGCGGACGGGUGAGUAAUGUCUGGGAAACUGCCUGAUGGAGGGGGAUAACUACUGGAAACGGUAGCUAAUACCGCAUAACGUCGCAAGACCAAAGAGGGGGACCUUCGGGCCUCUUGCCAUCAGAUGUGCCCAGAUGGGAUUAGCUAGUAGGUGGGGUAAUGGCUCACCUAGGCGACGAUCCCUAGCUGGUCUGAGAGGAUGAACAGCCACACUGGAACUGAGACACGAUCCAGACUCCUACGGGAGGCAGCAGUGGGGAAUAUUGCACAAUGGGCGCAAGCCUGAUGCAGCCAUGCCGCGUGUAUGAAGAAGGCCUUCGGGUUGUAAAGUACUUUCAGCGGGGAGGAAGGCGAUACGGUUAAUAACCGUGUCGAUUGACGUUACCCGCAGAAGAAGCACCGGCUAACUCCGUGCCAGCCGCCGCCGUAA